Molecule: ribosomal RNA, 433 nt
Filed under: uncultured bacterium
Lineage: Bacteria
Description: partial 16S ribosomal RNA
Rfam family: Bacterial small subunit ribosomal RNA
Source: RNAcentral
AACGAACGCUGGCGGCAUGCCUAACACAUGCAAGUCGAACGAGACCUUCGGGUCUAGUGGCGCACGGGUGCGUAACGCGUGGGAACCUGCCCUUAGGUUCGGAAUAACUCCCCGAAAGGGGUGCUAAUACCGGAUAAUUUCUUCGGACCAAAGAUUUAUCGCCUUUGGAUGGGCCCGCGUUGGUUUAGCUAGUUGGUAGGGUAAAAGCCUACCAAGGCGACGAUCCAUAGCUGGUCUGAGAGGAUGAUCAGCCACACUGGGACUGAGACACGGCCCAGACUCCUACGGGAGGCAGCAGUGGGGAAUAUUGGACAAUGGGCGAAAGCCUGAUCCAGCAAUGCCGCGUGAGUGAUGAAGGCCUUAGGGUUGUAAAGCUCUAUUACCCGGGAUGAUAAUGACAGUACCGGGAGAAUAAGCGCCGGCUAACUCCGUG